UACCAAAGGGGCAAUUGCCAGGCCACAGGAAC
RNAcentral lists this non-coding RNA (32 nucleotides) under Mus musculus (house mouse). The record is from RNAcentral. Lineage: Eukaryota; Metazoa; Chordata; Mammalia; Rodentia; Muridae.